RNAcentral lists this long non-coding RNA (278 nucleotides) under Rosa chinensis. RNAcentral describes it as "sRNA RchiOBHm_Chr1g0356341". The record is from RNAcentral. Lineage: Eukaryota; Viridiplantae; Streptophyta; Magnoliopsida; Rosales; Rosaceae.
UUACCCUCACGCUAGACACAGCAACACCCAAUCAACUAAGCAAAAACAGGCAGAUACUCCAGUUGACAACACUUAGAACUGUGAAAGAUAACCUCAAGCGCAGUUGCAGCACGGGCUUUAGCAUCAUCCAUGUUCGAGGCACUCAAAUUGACUGCUGUCUGCUGACCAUAAGAUCUGUAUUUGUCCUUAGCUUAACUUGCACAGUAUGUGAUCAUUCUGGUCUCUAGCUUCCUUCUUACUCCAUGUCUACAUGGCUCACAUAUUUUGGGAACAUUUAA